UACGUAGGGUGCGAGCGUUGUCCGGAAUUACUGGGCGUAAAGAGCUCGUAGGUGGUUUGUCGCGUUGUUCGUGAAAUCUCACGGCUUAACUGUGAGCGUGCGGGCGAUACGGGCAGACUAGAGUACUGCAGGGGAGACUGGAAUUCCUGGUGUAGCGGUGGAAUGCGCAGAUAUCAGGAGGAACACCGGUGGCGAAGGCGGGUCUCUGGGCAGUAACUGACGCUGAGGAGCGAAAGCGUGGGGAGCGAACAGGAUUAGAUACCCUGGUAGUCCACGCCGUAAACGGUGGGUACUAGGUGUGGGUUUCCUUCCUUGGGAUCCGUGCCGUAGCUAACGCAUUAAGUACCCCGCCUGGGGA
RNAcentral lists this ribosomal RNA (358 nucleotides) under uncultured Mycobacterium sp. RNAcentral's name for it is "bacterial SSU rRNA". It matches the Rfam family "Bacterial small subunit ribosomal RNA", at positions 524 to 879 of the family's 1533-position model. The record is from RNAcentral. Lineage: Bacteria; Bacillati; Actinomycetota; Actinomycetes; Mycobacteriales; Mycobacteriaceae.